AGGGUAGGGGAUUCGCUUGUCCAACUCCUUUUGCUUUAGUUUGAGACCCAUUGGCUAAAGUAACGUUGGGAAGAAACUGUGAAUACGUAAUAUUGACAAAAGGGAUUUAUUACCAGAGAUAUGAUUAGAAGCAGCUGAGUCCACAACCCAUUGUUCAAGAGGACUAGACACGGAAACACAAGCAAAAGAAUUACCAGCAAUAGAAAUAUCAGUCUGAGCAACAACUACUUGUGGAGAUGUCUGCUUACUUGCUCGAUAUUUAAGGAACUCAUUAUACUCCCCUUC
This 285-nucleotide long non-coding RNA is filed under the name Nicotiana benthamiana. RNAcentral's name for it is "long non-coding RNA (NBEN_LNC012533)". Lineage: Eukaryota; Viridiplantae; Streptophyta; Magnoliopsida; Solanales; Solanaceae. The record is from RNAcentral.